AUAAUCAUGAAUGGAUAUUAAAGUCUCAUGUAGUUAUUUGCAUAUGCAAAAGAUAUAAUUCUAUUACAAAAUGAGAACGUACUUGUUGCGAUAUGUUUAUGGUGGCUCUAUUCACAAAGUAAAAAGCAAGUGAUGUCGAAACAUUGACUACUUAAUAUACACUGUAUAAACUGACCCCGAUUUUUACUGCUUGGGACAAAUAAUGUCGAUAUAGAUAGAGGGCAUUUAAAUCAUUAGGAGAUUCUGUACUUACCGUUAUGUAUGUAUGUCUACUUGAGCGAGAGGAAUAGCUAAGCUUGUAAUCGCGUGUUGCUUAUUUUUAGAACUGAGAAGAUCAAUAUGGCUGCCACUCUUUGGAAUCUAACAGGAUAAAAGGAUACUUUGACAUUUAAAGACCAAAUCAGUAAACAGUGAGUUCUUAACCAGCUAGACACAAUGGCAUUUUUGACACAAAUAGCAGAAAUAACGGAUUACUUGUAUCUUUGUAGUGCAACAGCAAUAACUCGUCAACGAUUAUCUAUUCUUGGAAUAACGCAUAUAAUAAAUUGCACUUUAGAUGUACCAAACCUUAAUGUCCCAGGGAUUCAGAGUACUCAAAUCCACGUCGAUGAUCACUCACAAGCACAGUUAUAUCUACAUUUCGACCGAGUGGCAGACGAGAUCAGUACCAUAGCUUCGCGUGGAGGAAAGGUCAUAGUUCAUUGUGUAGCUGGCGUUAGCAGAUCUGCCACAUUAUGUAUAGUCCACCUGAUGAAAUAUCACAGAAUGACUUUAGCAAAAGCUCAUGAUUUUGUACAGAAAAGGAGGUCCGUGAUUCGUCCAAAUAAUGGAUUUUGGAAACAGAUGAUAGAAUAUGAGAGAAAAUUGUAUGGACGUAACAGUGUCCACUUGGUCAACUCCAAUGUAGGCCUGGUUCCUAAUCUAUACACAGAAAAGGCAAGACAUUCGGUCUCAGUGCCAUCUACUUCAUAUUCCAGAGCUUAUGGCCGAGCUUUUAAUAGACGACCACGUUACAGCUAUUGAUGGCAAGCUUUGAUUUAUCAGAAACUACGGAAUUAUUUCGAAUAUAACCGCUAUACUUUUUAGUGUUAUAGGGAUUGUGUGGUUAUUUUAUUAAGGUCAUUAAAUGUUUCAAAGGAAA
Long non-coding RNA from Mytilus californianus (California mussel), 1141 nucleotides. RefSeq lists it as uncharacterized. NCBI's taxonomy places the organism in Eukaryota, Metazoa, Mollusca, Bivalvia, Mytilida, Mytilidae. The record is from RefSeq and is a predicted model, not a curated record. The transcript has 2 exons.